This 446-nucleotide ribosomal RNA is filed under the name uncultured bacterium. RNAcentral describes it as "partial 16S ribosomal RNA". It matches the Rfam family "Bacterial small subunit ribosomal RNA", at positions 338 to 795 of the family's 1533-position model. The record is from RNAcentral.
CCUACGGGUGGCUGCAGUCGAGAAUCAUUCACAAUGGGGGAAACCCUGAUGGUGCGACGCCGCGUGGGGGAAUGAAGGUCUUCGGAUUGUAAACCCCUGUCAUGUGGGAGCAAAUUAAAAAGAUAGUACCACAAGAGGAAGAGACGGCUAACUCUGUGCCAGCAGCCGCGGUAAUACAGAGGUCUCAAGCGUUGUUCGGAAUCACUGGGCGUAAAGCGUGCGUAGGCUGUUUCGUAAGUCGUGGGUGAAGGGGGCGGGCUCAACCCGCGGAAGGCACAUGAUACUGCGAGACUUGGGUAAUGGAGGGGGAACCGGAAUUCUCGGUGUAGCAGUGAAAUGCGUAGAUAUCGAGAGGAACACUCGUGGCGAAGGCGGGUUCCUGGACAUUAACUGACGCUGAGGCACGAAGGCCAGGGGAGCGAAAGGGAUUAGAUACCCGAGUAGUC